CGAACCGUGAAAGCGUGGCCUAU
Molecule: small nuclear RNA, 23 nt
Filed under: Arabidopsis thaliana (thale cress)
Lineage: Eukaryota; Viridiplantae; Streptophyta; Magnoliopsida; Brassicales; Brassicaceae
Description: snRNA_17390
Source: RNAcentral